This 253-nucleotide ribosomal RNA is filed under the name uncultured bacterium. RNAcentral's name for it is "partial 16S ribosomal RNA". It matches the Rfam family "Bacterial small subunit ribosomal RNA", at positions 524 to 776 of the family's 1533-position model. The record is from RNAcentral.
UACGUAGGGUGCGAGCGUUAAUCGGAAUUACUGGGCGUAAAGUGUGCGCAGGCGGCCGAGCAAGUCGAGUGUGAAAGCCCCGAGCUUAACUUGGGAACUGCGCUCGAAACUACUUGGCUAGAGUGUGGCAGAGGGAGGUGGAAUUCCACGUGUAGCGGUGAAAUGCGUAGAUAUCAGGAGGAACACCGAUGGCGAAGGCAGAUCUCUGGGCCUUACCUGACGCUGAGGAGCGAAAGCUGGGGGAGCGAACAGG